Molecule: long non-coding RNA, 418 nt
Organism: Ornithodoros turicata
Lineage: Eukaryota; Metazoa; Arthropoda; Arachnida; Ixodida; Argasidae
Exons: 2
Source: RefSeq, a predicted model, not a curated record
UAGAUAAGACGCGUGGCGAUAGCAAGGUGUUAUCGCCGGUAGUGGUCCCACACGUGCUGUUUCCCUCUUUACUGCGAGGGAAGGUGCAGCUUAUAUAACCCGCAGCGCAACCAACUCUGAAAAGAAAGCCAUCCUGACGACUGGUGUGAGCAACAUCUUCGUGAGCGGCGGACGGGUUCCUUCGGCAGCCGGCAGAUUACGGCAGUGGUCUACUGCGAUGAACUGCGCUUUUGUCUUUGCUUGCCGGUACCGUCCAAGAGGAAUUCAGCUUUCUCGACAGUCCCGUCCACGUACCCACGCCGGUGGCACGGGACCUGCUACAGGAGAGACGUCGCUCAGUACGCUAGUCUCAACAGCUCUGCAGUUCCUCCGCCGUCCUCGGACACCCCGCUGCGCCUUAACUUGACAGUGCCGACGC